AGGACGGACCCGCGUGUUGCUAACACGCCACCCCCAGA
Molecule: transfer RNA, 38 nt
Filed under: Leposoma scincoides
Lineage: Eukaryota; Metazoa; Chordata; Lepidosauria; Squamata; Gymnophthalmidae
Description: partial tRNA-Ser
Source: RNAcentral